UACGGAGGGUGCAAGCGUUGUUCGGAAUCAUUGGGCGUAAAGCGCGUGUAGGCGGCUUGGCAAGUCGGUUGUGAAAACUGGAGGCUCAACCUUCAGAGGUCGACCGAAACCAUCUGGCUAGAGUCCGGGAGAGGAGAGUGGAAUUCCUGGUGUAGCGGUGAAAUGCGCAGAUAUCAGGAAGAACACCCGUGGCGAAAGCGGCUCUCUGGAACGGUACUGACGCUGAGACGCGAAAGCGUGGGGAGCGAACAGG
This 253-nucleotide ribosomal RNA is filed under the name uncultured bacterium. RNAcentral describes it as "partial 16S ribosomal RNA". It matches the Rfam family "Bacterial small subunit ribosomal RNA", at positions 524 to 776 of the family's 1533-position model. The record is from RNAcentral.